RNAcentral lists this ribosomal RNA (182 nucleotides) under uncultured bacterium. Its description in RNAcentral is "partial 16S ribosomal RNA". It matches the Rfam family "Bacterial small subunit ribosomal RNA", at positions 1319 to 1500 of the family's 1533-position model. The record is from RNAcentral.
CAUGAAGCUGGAAUUGCUAGUAAUGGCAGGUCAGCAUACUGCCGUGAAUACGUUCCCGGGCCUUGUACACACCGCCCGUCACACCAUGAGAGUUGGGAAUACCCGAAGCCUGUGAGCUAACUGUAAAGAGGCAGCAGUCGAAGGUAGAAUCAAUGAUUGGGGUGAAGUCGUAACAAGGUACC